Molecule: ribosomal RNA, 474 nt
Filed under: Staphylococcus aureus
Lineage: Bacteria; Bacillati; Bacillota; Bacilli; Caryophanales; Staphylococcaceae
Description: bacterial SSU rRNA
Rfam family: Bacterial small subunit ribosomal RNA
Source: RNAcentral
UUUUAUGGAGAGUUUGAUCCUGGCUCAGGAUGAACGCUGGCGGCGUGCCUAAUACAUGCAAGUCGAGCGAACGGACGAGAAGCUUGCUUCUCUGAUGUUAGCGGCGGACGGGUGAGUAACACGUGGAUAACCUACCUAUAAGACUGGGAUAACUUCGGGAAACCGGAGCUAAUACCGGAUAAUAUUUUGAACCGCAUGGUUCAAAAGUAAAAGACGGUCUUGCUGUCACUUAUAGAUGGAUCCGCGCUGCAUUAGCUAGUUGGUAAGGUAACGGCUUACCAAGGCAACGAUGCAUAGCCGACCUGAGAGGGUGAUCGGCCACACUGGAACUGAGACACGGUCCAGACUCCUACGGGAGGCAGCAGUAGGGAAUCUUCCGCAAUGGGCGAAAGCCUGACGGAGCAACGCCGCGUGAGUGAUGAAGGUCUUCGGAUCGUAAAACUCUGUUAUUAGGGAAGAACAUAUGUGUAAGUA